GUCUAUAGAUUGUUUGGUGGAAUAGUGAAAUAGAAGUUAAUACGUUCUUGCUCAAUCUUGUGUCGCUUUGAAGGUGUCAUGAUUGUCAUCCUUAGCCUAAGCAAUGUGUUACUGUAAUUUGAAUUUCAAAAUGACUAAGCGACGUUUUUUUCGACGCACUGUUCAACUCCACCAUAGAGAAUGACAUGACUUUGACAAUCAGUAAAUUCCAGCG
This 214-nucleotide long non-coding RNA is filed under the name Mytilus galloprovincialis (Mediterranean mussel). The record is from RNAcentral. Lineage: Eukaryota; Metazoa; Mollusca; Bivalvia; Mytilida; Mytilidae.